UACGAAGGGUGCAACCGUUGCUCGGAAUUAUUGGGCGUAAAGCGCGCGUAGGCGGCUUGGCAAGUCGGAUGUGAAAUCCCUCGGCUCAACCAAGGAAGUGCAUCCGAAACUGCUGAGCUUGAGUACUGAAGAGGAUCGCGGAAUUCCCGGUGUAGAGGUGAAAUUCGUAGAUAUCGGGAGGAACACCAGAGGCGAAGGCGGUUACCUGGACAGGUACUGACGCUCAGGCACGAAAGCAUGGGGAGCAAAAGGG
This 253-nucleotide ribosomal RNA is filed under the name uncultured bacterium. RNAcentral describes it as "partial 16S ribosomal RNA". It matches the Rfam family "Bacterial small subunit ribosomal RNA", at positions 524 to 776 of the family's 1533-position model. The record is from RNAcentral.